CCUACGGGAGGCAGCAGUGGGGAAUUUUGGACAAUGGGCGAAAGCCUGAUCCAGCCAUUCCGCGUGCAGGAUGAAGGCCCUCGGGUUGUAAACUGCUUUUGUACAGAACGAAAAAGCUCUGGUUAAUACCUGGAGUCCAUGACGGUACUGUAAGAAUAAGCACCGGCUAACUACGUGCCAGCAGCCGCGGUAAUACGUAGGGUGCAAGCGUUAAUCGGAAUUACUGGGCGUAAAGCGUGCGCAGGCGGUUUUGUAAGACAGAGGUGAAAUCCCCGGGCUCAACCUGGGAACUGCCUUUGUGACUGCAAGGCUGGAGUGCGGCAGAGGGGGAUGGAAUUCCGCGUGUAGCAGUGAAAUGCGUAGAUAUGCGGAGGAACACCGAUGGCGAAGGCAAUCCCCUGGGCCUGCACUGACGCUCAUGCACGAAAGCGUGGGGAGCAAACAGGAUUAGAUACCCUGGUAGUCCACGCCCUAAACGAUGUCAACUGGUUGUUGGGUCUUGACUGACUCAGUAACGAAGCUAACGCGUGAAGUUGACCGCCUGGGGAGUACGGCCGCAAGGCUAAAACUCAAAGGAAUUGACGG
Molecule: ribosomal RNA, 585 nt
Filed under: uncultured bacterium
Lineage: Bacteria
Description: bacterial SSU rRNA
Rfam family: Bacterial small subunit ribosomal RNA
Source: RNAcentral